GUAAUGCCGGAUGCUCCAGUUGAUCGCAUGGUCUUCUGGGAAAGCUUUCGCGGUAUGGGAUGGGGUCGCGUCCUAUCAGCUUGACGGCGGGGUAACGGCCCACCGUGGCUUCGACGGGUAGCCGGCCUGAGAGGGCGACCGGCCACAUUGGGACUGAGAUACGGCCCAGACUCCUACGGGAGGCAGCAGUGGGGAAUAUUGCACAAUGGGCGCAAGCCUGAUGCAGCGACGCCGCGUGAGGGAUGGAGGCCUUCGGGUUGUAAACCUCUUUUAUCGGGGAGCAAGCGAGAGUGAGUUUACCCGUUGAAUAAGCACCGGCUAACUACGUGCCAGCAGCCGCGGUAAUACGUAGGGUGCAAGCGUUAUCCGGAAUUAUUGGGCGUAAAGGGCUCGUAGGCGGUUCGUCGCGUCCGGUGUGAAAGUCCAUCGCUUAACGGUGGAUCCGCGCCGGGUACGGGCGGGCUUGAGUGCGGUAGGGGAGACUGGAAUUCCCGGUGUAACGGUGGAAUGUGUAGAAUCGAAAAAAAACCCCCAC
RNAcentral lists this ribosomal RNA (535 nucleotides) under Bifidobacterium longum subsp. suillum. Its description in RNAcentral is "bacterial SSU rRNA". It matches the Rfam family "Bacterial small subunit ribosomal RNA", at positions 163 to 713 of the family's 1533-position model. The record is from RNAcentral. Lineage: Bacteria; Bacillati; Actinomycetota; Actinomycetes; Bifidobacteriales; Bifidobacteriaceae.